RNAcentral lists this long non-coding RNA (1214 nucleotides) under Takifugu rubripes (torafugu). RNAcentral's name for it is "lncRNA (ENSTRUG00000029492.1)". The record is from RNAcentral. Lineage: Eukaryota; Metazoa; Chordata; Actinopteri; Tetraodontiformes; Tetraodontidae.
AUUUUACAUUUUUUAAAAUGGUCAUAAUUUCAUUUAUUGUCUCAAUUCAUUAUUGUUGAAAUGGAUUAAAAAUGUAUUGUUCUUUAUGUUUAUUUUUGAUAGAGUCACGUGUAGGGUUCAGAGGUCGCAGCCGUGGCAUUUUAAGUGAGGCAGUGCAGUAACAGAGAGCACCAGCAUGGCUACAGGGCGGAGCGCCAACAUAGUUUAAAGAAAGUAUACACGGCCUUAAAAUAAUAAUUCUGCACGGUCCAAGAGGCGGUCACGGUAACGAUUGUUUUAAAUUUAUUUGUUUUUGUAUGUUUUAAUGUGUGUGCCCUUGAAUAGACAGUUUGGUAUGUUUUUCUAUGUUACUGUGCUAGCUUGUUGGGACCUGUCUAAAUGCUGGACAUUUAUUAAGAGACUUUCAAGAAUAAGAUAUUUACAUUUUCAAAUGCUGCUUAUGUAUUUUAAUUUCUAGUUUUCACGGUGUCUGAGGAGGAUGGAGAGUUGGGAAUCAAACUUUAAAAAAGACAUUGUAACAGUAAAGAUAUAUAAUUCAAUUCAGCAAUACUACAGCCUCCCCUCCCCCACCCAGCAUAUAAACAUUAUGAAGACCACAUUGAUUAUGAAGACUUGGAAGUACUUAAAGUUUAUUUUUCGAAAAAAGCGAUACCUACAAGGGAGCGACCGUAUCUUGUCUCGAUGGUGAAGACGCACAUGAAAAGACGCCUUGGUGGCACAGCUUGUUUUCAUGCUGCAUGUGUUCUUCCCCAGACCCCAUUAUAGAGCCAUCACCAUAUUCAGUGCCUUUCAGACCUAAAAUAACACCAGAAGUAAAGGAGGUGCCAAGGAACAACCUUCAUUCCUCCCGCACCCCCCAGACAGGCAGAAAAAUAAACAACUCAGAAAACCUGCUCAAACAGACCAAUCCAACCAGGCCUUUUGAUUCUGCACUCAGGAAAAAACAAGAAAAAAUACAAGAACCAGAAGAAAUAAAGGCAGUACCGGGGAACAUCCUUUUCAACGCUCAGGAAGAUAAUAACAUGGAACAGCAUUUUAAAAAAGGUGACAUUUUCAGAGGAGAAAUCUACCAGGCCUUUCUGACAUUUCACGACAGAAGAAAAUGUGACGCCAAGAACUCCAGCUUACAGAGUCUCCUGAAUUUGACUGACUUUAUGAAUGAUAUCAGUUCAUUGAGAAGGAUUGGAGACACGUCCAUGGAGCCAAAAUGCUAA